This 73-nucleotide transfer RNA is filed under the name Bos taurus (domestic cattle). It matches the Rfam family "tRNA". From Rfam's summary of the family: Transfer RNA (tRNA) molecules are approximately 80 nucleotides in length. The record is from Rfam by way of RNAcentral. RNAcentral also lists the same sequence under 5 other names. Lineage: Eukaryota; Metazoa; Chordata; Mammalia; Artiodactyla; Bovidae.
UCCCUGAUGGUCCAGUGGCUAAGACUCUGUGCUCCCAAUGAAGGAAGACCAGGUUCGAUUCCUGAUCAGGGAA